ACAACUUUCAGCAACGGAUCUCUUGGCUCUCGCAUCGAUGAAGAACGCAGCGAAAUGCGAUAAGUAAUGUGAAUUGCAGAAUUCAGUGAAUCAUCGAAUCUUUGAACGCACCUUGCGCUCCUUGGUAUUCCGAGGAGCACACCUGUUUGAGUGUCAUGAAAUUCU
This 165-nucleotide ribosomal RNA is filed under the name Cerioporus squamosus. RNAcentral describes it as "5.8S rRNA". It matches the Rfam family "5.8S ribosomal RNA". Rfam says of the family: 5.8S ribosomal RNA (5.8S rRNA) is a component of the large subunit of the eukaryotic ribosome. It is transcribed by RNA polymerase I as part of the 45S precursor that also contains 18S and 28S rRNA. The record is from RNAcentral. Lineage: Eukaryota; Fungi; Basidiomycota; Agaricomycetes; Polyporales; Polyporaceae.